GAAAAGCUAUUGUUGCAAAGCUACCAUCUGUUGGAUUACGACUGAACGCCUCUAAGUCGGAAUCCAUGCUGGCUAAGCAGUGUUGUCCACCACUUCCAUGGUUACAUGACAAGCAUUAGGUCUCGGCCCUGUUGCAUAUGAGCCAUAUCUACCGUUAAAGGUUGUGUGGUAAAUCUCAAUUUCAAUCUGUGGAAAUGAUAAACCUUUUGCAGACGACUUAACUGAAUCCAGGUAUUGUAAGU
Molecule: ribosomal RNA, 242 nt
Filed under: uncultured eukaryote
Lineage: Eukaryota
Description: partial Eukaryotic large subunit ribosomal RNA
Rfam family: Eukaryotic large subunit ribosomal RNA
Source: RNAcentral